AUGCUCAGUCACAGAAAUUGUAAGAAAGCUCUACAGGUAAAGGUCCAACAGCGCCCUCUACUGGUGCAAAGAGUCAGGACAUGCUCAGUCACACUAAAAUGCAGAAGACCAGUCAGUGAGCAGACCGUGUGGAGCCGCAUGGACUUUCUGUGUGUUUCCCUAAUGAUGUGUGCAUUCUUGAGGAAAUAUUUCAUCAUGCAGCAGACCGUACAUCAACGACUUCCUCAGCGGAAGGUGUUGCUCGAGCAUGCCCCGACGGCAGCAAGCCCCGACCGCAGCAAGCCCCGACAGCAGCAUGCAUCGACGGCAGCAAGCCCCGACGGCAGCAAGCCCCGACAGCAGCAUGCAUCGACGGCAGCAUGCAUCGACGGCAGCAAGCCCCGACCGCAGCAAGCCCCGACAGCAGCAUGCAUCGACGGCAGCAAACCCCGACGGCCGCACGCCCAACGCGCGCGCGGACUGCGAGGGCCCGUUCAUCACUGGGCCCGAGCAGGGAACCUGCGAGGUCCCUAUUGA
RNAcentral lists this long non-coding RNA (516 nucleotides) under Sparus aurata (gilthead seabream). RNAcentral's name for it is "lncRNA (ENSSAUG00010006790.1)". The record is from RNAcentral. Lineage: Eukaryota; Metazoa; Chordata; Actinopteri; Spariformes; Sparidae.